Orcinus orca (killer whale) is the source of this 600-nucleotide long non-coding RNA. RefSeq lists it as uncharacterized. The record is from RefSeq and is a predicted model, not a curated record. NCBI's taxonomy places the organism in Eukaryota, Metazoa, Chordata, Mammalia, Artiodactyla, Delphinidae. The transcript has 3 exons.
UGCAGCUGCUGCUGCUGGUCACUGAAACAGGACUCUUCUCUGGUUACCUAGUAGCUGAUACAAACACUGAGGACCUGAGACUGUUUACAAAUAAACUCCAGCUGGUUGGAGAUUCAUUUCUUUUGUGAAAAAAAGAAGUAAAAAGUAAACAACAAUGAAGAAGUUAGUUUCUAUGGCAACAUGUCAAGGAAUGCAGAGUUAUGCAGAGAGACCUGAAUAUCACCAAAAGAGCCACUCCUUCAGCCUGAUCUCAGAUGAUAAAGACAUGAAGCAGAGCUGAAGCCCAGUCUGUGAUGGACAUGUAAUGAUGGACAUGUAAUGUGAGUUCACACGUUGUUGUAAACCAUGAAGAUCUGGUAGUUGAUUUACGAUAGCCAAGAUAUGGAAGCAACCCAAAUGCCAUCAACGGAUGAAUGAAUAAAGUAGAUGUGGUAUAUAUAUACAGUGGUUUAUUACUCAACCAUAAAAAAAAAGAAUGAAAUUCUGCCAUUUGCAGCAACAUGGAUGGACCUAGAGAAUAUUAUGCUUAGUAAAAUGAGUCAGACAGAGAAAGGCAAAUGCUGCAUGAUAUUACUUAUGUGUAGAAUCUAAUAAGUAAUA